UACAGAGGUGGCAAGCGUUGUUCGGAAUUACUGGGCGUAAAGGGCGCGUAGGCGGCCUUCUCAGUCAGACGUGAAAUCCCCGGGCUUAACUCGGGAACUGCGUCUGAUACUGGAAGGCUGGAGUUCGGGAGAGGGAUGUGGAACUCCAGGUGUAGCGGUGAAAUGCGUAGAUAUCUGGAGGAACACCGGUGGCGAAGGCGGCAUCCUGGACCGAAACUGACGCUGAGGCGCGAAAGCCAGGGGAGCAAACGGG
RNAcentral lists this ribosomal RNA (253 nucleotides) under uncultured bacterium. RNAcentral's name for it is "partial 16S ribosomal RNA". It matches the Rfam family "Bacterial small subunit ribosomal RNA", at positions 524 to 776 of the family's 1533-position model. The record is from RNAcentral.